GGCUGCAUGAAGCUGGAAUCGCUAGUAAUCGCGGAUCAGAAUGCCGCGGUGAAUACGUUCCCGGGUCUUGUACACACCGCCCGUCACACCAUGGGAGUCGGGAAUGCCCGAAGUCAGUGACCCAACCGCAAGGAGGGAGCUGCCGAAGGCAGGCUUGAUAACUGGGGUGAAGUCGUAACAAGGUAGC
Molecule: ribosomal RNA, 187 nt
Filed under: uncultured bacterium
Lineage: Bacteria
Description: partial 16S ribosomal RNA
Rfam family: Bacterial small subunit ribosomal RNA
Source: RNAcentral